Molecule: transfer RNA, 71 nt
Filed under: Loxodonta africana (African savanna elephant)
Lineage: Eukaryota; Metazoa; Chordata; Mammalia; Proboscidea; Elephantidae
Rfam family: tRNA
About the family: Transfer RNA (tRNA) molecules are approximately 80 nucleotides in length. Their secondary structure includes four short double-helical elements and three loops (D, anti-codon, and T loops).
Source: Rfam by way of RNAcentral
GCAGUGGUAAUACAAUAGUAGAACCCUUGCCUUCCAUGUGGGAGACCUGGGUUCAAUUCCCGGCCAGUGCA